Molecule: ribosomal RNA, 820 nt
Filed under: uncultured bacterium
Lineage: Bacteria
Description: bacterial SSU rRNA
Rfam family: Bacterial small subunit ribosomal RNA
Source: RNAcentral
AGAGUUUGAUCCUGGCUCAGGAUGAACGCUGGCGGCGUGCUUAACACAUGCAAGUCGAACGAAGCACUUUAUUUGAUUUCCUUCGGGACUGAUUAUUUUGUGACUGAGUGGCGGACGGGUGAGUAACGCGUGGGUAACCUGCCUUGUACAGGGGGAUAACAGUUGGAAACGGCUGCUAAUACCGCAUAAGCGCACAGCAUCGCAUGAUGCAGUGUGAAAAACUCCGGUGGUAUAAGAUGGACUCGCGUUGGAUUAGCUAGUUGGUGAGGUAACGGCCCACCAAGGCGACGAUCCAUAGCCGACCUGAGAGGGUGACCGGCCACAUUGGGACUGAGACACGGCCCAGACUCCUACGGGAGGCAGCAGUGGGGAAUAUUGCACAAUGGGGGAAACCCUGAUGCAGCGACGCCGCGUGGAGGAAGAAGGUCUUCGGAUUGUAAACUCCUGUUGUUGAGGAAGAUAAUGACGGUACUCAACAAGGAAGUGACGGCUAACUACGUGCCAGCAGCCGCGGUAAAACGUAGGUCACAAGCGUUGUCCGGAAUUACUGGGUGUAAAGGGAGCGCAGGCGGGAAGACAAGUUGGAAGUGAAAUCUAUGGGCUCAACCCAUAAACUGCUUUCAAAACUGUUUUUCUUGAGUAGUGCAGAGGUAGGCGGAAUUCCCGGUGUAGCGGUGGAAUGCGUAGAUAUCGGGAGGAACACCAGUGGCGAGGGCGGCCUACUGGGCACCAACUGACGCUGAGGCUCGAAAGUGUGGGUAGCAAACAGGAUUAGAUACCCUGGUAGUCCACACCGUAAACGAUGAUUACUAGGUGUUGG